Molecule: ribosomal RNA, 665 nt
Filed under: Psathyrella sp. AX136
Lineage: Eukaryota; Fungi; Basidiomycota; Agaricomycetes; Agaricales; Psathyrellaceae
Description: eukaryotic LSU rRNA
Rfam family: 5.8S ribosomal RNA (bases 291-444)
Source: RNAcentral
UCGUAACAAGGUUUCCGUAGGUGAACCUGCGGAAGGAUCAUUAACGAAUAACUAUGGUGUCUUGGUUGUCGCUGGCUCCUCGGAGCAUCGUGCACGCCCGCCAUUUUUAUCUAUCCACCUGUGCACCGAAUGUAGGUCUGGAUGACUCUCGCCUUCGGGCGGAUGCGAGGUUUGCGUUUCGCGUGCGAGCGCUCUCCUCGAAUUUCCAGGCUCUACGUCUCUUUACACACCCCAAACGUAUGAUGCAGAAUGUAGUCAAUGGGCCUUUACAAGCCUAUAAAACACUAUACAACUUUCAGCAACGGAUCUCUUGGCUCUCGCAUCGAUGAAGAACGCAGCGAAAUGCGAUAAGUAAUGUGAAUUGCAGAAUUCAGUGAAUCAUCGAAUCUUUGAACGCACCUUGCGCUCCUUGGUAUUCCGAGGAGCAUGCCUGUUUGAGUGUCAUUAAAUUCUCAACCUCACCGGUUUUCUGAACCGUUCUCCGAGGCUUGGAUGUGGGGGUUUGUGCAGGUCGCCUCGGCGCGGUCUGCUCCCCUGAAAUGCAUUAGCGAGAUUCAUUCUGGACCUCCGUCUAUCGGUGUGAUAAUUAUCUACGUCGUUGACUUGGUUCGGACUCGCUUCUAACCGUCCGCGAGGACAACAUACUUGACAAUUGACCUCAAAUC